This 253-nucleotide ribosomal RNA is filed under the name uncultured bacterium. RNAcentral's name for it is "partial 16S ribosomal RNA". It matches the Rfam family "Bacterial small subunit ribosomal RNA", at positions 524 to 776 of the family's 1533-position model. The record is from RNAcentral.
UACAGAGGUCCCAAGCGUUGUUCGGAUUCACUGGGCGUAAAGGGUGCGUAGGUGGUGAGGUAAGUCGGAUGUGAAAUCUCCGGGCUCAACCCGGAAAUGGCAUUGGAAACUACCUUGCUGGAGGGUUUGAGGGGGGAUUGGAAUACUUGGUGUAGCAGUGAAAUGCGUAGAUAUCAAGUGGAACACCAGUGGCGAAGGCGAAUCCCUGGAAAACACCUGACACUGAGGCACGAAAGCUAGGGGAGCAAACAGG